GACGAACGCUGGCGGCGUGCUUAACACAUGCAAGUCGAACGAGAAAGCACCUUCGGGUGUGAGUACAGUGGCGAACGGGUGAGUAACACGUGGGCAACCUGCCCUAGAGACUGGGAUAACGUCCCGAAAGGGACGCUAAUACCGGAUGACGCGCGAUCUGCCAAGUAGGUCGCGCCAAAUGGUAGCUUCGGCUUCUACUCUGGGAUGGGCCCGCGCCGGAUUAGCUUGUUGGUGAGGUAACGGCUCACCAAGGCGACGAUCCGUAGCUGGUCUGAGAGGACGAUCAGCCACACUGGGACUGAGACACGGCCCAGACUCCUACGGGAGGCAGCAGUGGGGAAUCUUGCGCAAUGGGCGAAAGCCUGACGCAGCAACGCCGCGUGAGCGAAGACGGCCUUCGGGUUGUAAAGCUCUGUCAGGAGGGACGAAGCCACUCAGGUGAAUAGCCGAGAGGGUGACGGUACCUCCAGAGGAAGCCCCGGCUAACUACGUGCCAGCCGCCGCUGUAAAAC
This 512-nucleotide ribosomal RNA is filed under the name uncultured bacterium. RNAcentral's name for it is "bacterial SSU rRNA". It matches the Rfam family "Bacterial small subunit ribosomal RNA", at positions 28 to 526 of the family's 1533-position model. The record is from RNAcentral.